RNAcentral lists this ribosomal RNA (526 nucleotides) under uncultured prokaryote. RNAcentral describes it as "bacterial SSU rRNA". It matches the Rfam family "Bacterial small subunit ribosomal RNA", at positions 357 to 905 of the family's 1533-position model. The record is from RNAcentral.
GUGCAGGGUUCCUACAUGCAAACGCAAGGGAAUUGACGGGCUGCCUCUUGAAGGGGUAGCCCCCAAGGGUUUUCUAAUACAGGGGGCGAAUGACGGUACCGUAAGAAUAACCACCGGCUAACUACGUGCCAGCAGCCGCGGUAAUACGUAGGGUGCGAGCGUUAAUCGGAAUUACUGGGUGUAAAGCGUGCGCAGGCGGUUAUAUAAGACAGAUGUGAAAUCCCCGGGCUCAACCUGGGAACUGCAUUAGUGACUGUAUAGCUAGAGUGCGGCAGAGGGGGAUGGAAUUCCGCGUGUAGCAGUGAAAUGCGUAUAUAUGCAGAGGAACACCGAUGGAAAACGCAACCCCCUGGCCCUGCACUGACGCUCAUGCACGAAAGCGUGGGGAGCAAACAGGAUUAGAUACCCUGGUAGUCCACGCCCUAAACGAUGUCAACUGGUUGUUGGGUCUUCACUGACUCAUUAACCCAAGCUAACGCCUGAAGUUGACCGCCUGGGGAGUACGGCCGCCAGGUUAAAACUCAAA